AAACCGACACAGGUGGGUGAGGAGAGUAUCCUAAGGCCAGCGAGAGAACUGUUGUUAAGGAACUCGGCAAAAUGACCCCGUAACUUAGGGAUAAGGGGUGCCACCAUCAGGUGGACGCAGAGAAUAGGCCCAAGCGACUGUUUACCAAAAACAUAGGUUUCUGCUAAGUCGCAAGACGAUGUAUAGGAGCUGACGCCUGCCCGGUGCUGGAAGGUUAAGGGGAUCUGUUAGAGCAAUCGAAG
Molecule: ribosomal RNA, 242 nt
Filed under: Clostridioides difficile
Lineage: Bacteria; Bacillati; Bacillota; Clostridia; Peptostreptococcales; Peptostreptococcaceae
Description: partial 23S ribosomal RNA
Rfam family: Bacterial large subunit ribosomal RNA
Source: RNAcentral